AUGGCGCCGCCAUGUUUCUCGAAGAAGCCGCCGUCGGGGAGCGCCGGGGACCCAGCGGAGCCUUGCGGAGGCGCCUCCUCUACUCUCUCUCCAAUCCCGCCGAUGCUCUCUUCAGCUCCUCAUCCUCUUCUCCCCCCAGAUGGAUGGAAUGCUUCUUCAUUAUCCGAAAGAAACAGCCCACCCUGCCGACCGGAUGUUAAUUCCUAUGGUGGCAAAGAAGCCAGAUAUCCGGGCCCAGACCUUCCAGAGGACAUUUGGUGUCGUAUACACUUCCUACUACCAAUGCAAGAUGCUGCCCGUGCCGCCUGUGUUUCUCGCUCCUUCCUACACUCCUGGAGAUGCCACCCCAAUCUCACCUUCACCAACGAAACGAUGUGCCCCAAAGAAGAUUUAAAAGCAGCGGGAUCGAACGCUAUUAUAAGAGACUACAACAACAAAAUUGACUGUGUUCUGAGGAACCGCUUGUGUACUGAUGCCGUGACGAAACUCAAGCUUGACUACCACGUUCCUCCUGAUGGUGCUGAAUCGUAUCAUCGUCUUGAUAGCUGGCUCCAGAUGGCUGUUACGCCCAGGACCAAAGAACUCGAGCUUCUAGUAUGGUCGAAAGAGGCGAGCUUUGAUUUCCCAUGCACACUACUAUCUGACAGGUGUGGGGGCUCGAUUCAGAAGCUUCUCCUUUUCAGAUGUGCCUUACGUCCCACAUUUCAACUUGGUUUGAGAAGCCUGAAAACUCUGCAUCUGCGCGAUGUGCGUGUUACGGGGGAGGAGUUAGGGUGCCUUCUGUCCAGUUCCACUGCUUUGGAACACCUGAAGCUCGUAUAUUGUGAUGAUAUAGUUCGCCUGGAGAUACCUUGCCUGCUGCAGAGGCUCAGCUUCCUGGAGGUGUCUGGAUGCACGAAUCUUCAAGUGAUAGAGAACAAAGCUCCAAAUCUCUCCAGAUUUUACCUUGAAGCAGGUGAACUGGUGCAAGUCUCGUUUGGAGAGUCGAAAGUGAAGGACGUGCAGUUGAGGCAGGGUUAUGCCAUCAAUUAUGCUAUUGAGAACCUUCCUUCACGUGUGCCGAAUCUUGAGACACUUAACAUACAAUCUUCUCAUGAGAUAGUCAAUUCCUCACUGGCAUCUAGCAAGUUCCUCCACCUCAAGUUCUUGAGUAUUUUUCUUAUUAGUGGAUCAUAUUUUCUCCAGGACUACGAUUUUUUGUCGUUGGUUCAUUUUUUUGAUGCUUCUCCUUCCCUCGAGACGUUUCGCUUGUAUGUAAUCGAGCAUUCCAUGGAUGACUGGUUUGAGGGAGAUCCCUCGUCUCUGAGGCGAAUGCCACAACACUGCCAUGGGAGCCUCAAGAGUGUGAAGAUCAUUGGUUUCUUCCCCCAAAAGAGCAUGGUUGAGCUAACAUGUCAUCUUCUCGAGAAUGCAAUGUCACUUGAGUCCCUUACAGUGGAUGCUAGUCCAGCUAAUUACAGGUGUUCUGGCAGUAAACCGGGCAGAAAAUGCAGUCCCCUGACAACUACAGCUAUAGUGAAGGCACAUAAAUCAGUCUUGGCUGUGAAAAAAUACAUUGAGGGGAAUGUUCCCUCUACAGUCAAGUUAAAUGUUCCGGAGCCUUGCGGACGAUGCCAUCGUUUGAACGAAUCAGGUGUCAAACCAUUCUAUCUGAUGUUUAAUGAUUAG
Molecule: ribosomal RNA, 1668 nt
Filed under: Triticum aestivum (bread wheat)
Lineage: Eukaryota; Viridiplantae; Streptophyta; Magnoliopsida; Poales; Poaceae
Description: partial small subunit ribosomal RNA
Source: RNAcentral